AACUUUACGCUAAUUAUGUAAAGUAUAUCCUGCUCAAUGACAUUAAAUAGCCGCAGAACUUUUCACUGUGCUAAGGUAGCAUAAUCACUUGUCUUUUAAUUAAAGAAUAGAAUGAACGGAAAAACGAAUUCUAAACUGUCUCAUAUUUUUUCAAUAAAAUUACAUAAAAGUAAAAAUCCUUUUAUACACAAAAUAAGACGACAAGACCCUAAGAACUUUACUAAAGUUUGGCUGGGGCGGCUUUUUAAAAAAAUCUUAUUCCAAACAACCUAAUCCUACUUUUAUCACCAGUUACCUUAGGGAUAACAGCAUAAUUUAAUUCUACAGCUCUUAUCUAAAAUUAAGAUUAUGACCUCGAUGUUGAAUUAAAAAUCUUUUAAAAGAAAAUUCUUAACAAGAAAGUCUGUUCGACU
This 413-nucleotide ribosomal RNA is filed under the name Dysdera atlantica. RNAcentral's name for it is "partial 16S ribosomal RNA". It matches the Rfam family "Bacterial large subunit ribosomal RNA", at positions 1829 to 2586 of the family's 2925-position model. Lineage: Eukaryota; Metazoa; Arthropoda; Arachnida; Araneae; Dysderidae. The record is from RNAcentral.